Molecule: ribosomal RNA, 522 nt
Filed under: uncultured Vagococcus sp.
Lineage: Bacteria; Bacillati; Bacillota; Bacilli; Lactobacillales; Enterococcaceae
Description: bacterial SSU rRNA
Rfam family: Bacterial small subunit ribosomal RNA
Source: RNAcentral
CGCCCUUAGAGUUUGAUCAUGGCUCAGGACGAACGCUGGCGGCGUGCCUAAUACAUGCAAGUCGAACGCAGCUUGCUUUGGUAAGAUGAGUGGCGAACGGGUGAGUAACACGUGGGUAACCUGCCUAUCAGAGGGGGAUAACACUUGGAAACAGGUGCUAAUACCGCAUAGAUUUCUUUCGCAUGAAAAGAGAGGAAAGACGUACGUGUCACUGAUAGAUGGACCCGCGGUGCAUUAGCUAGUUGGUGAGGUAACGGCUCACCAAGGCCAUGAUGCAUAGCCGACCUGAGAGGGUGAUCGGCCACACUGGGACUGAGACACGGCCCAGACUCCUACGGGAGGCAGCAGUAGGGAAUCUUCGGCAAUGGACGAAAGUCUGACCGAGCAACGCCGCGUGAGUGAAGAAGGUUUUCGGACCGUAAAACUCUGUUGUUAGAGAAGAAUAGGUAGGGAUGACUUCUUGCCAUGACGGUAUCUACCAGAAAGCCACGGCUAACUACGUGCCAGCAGGCGCGGUAUACG